GAGCGUAUGGGUAUAAGGUAGCUUAACUGUGAGACCUACAAGUCGAUCAGAUACGAAAGUAGGGCCAAAUGAUCCGGUGGUUGAAAGUGGAAUCGCCAUCGCUCAACGGACAAAAGGUACGCCAGGGAUAACAGGCUGAUCGCGCCCAAGAGUUCAUAUCGACGGCGCGGUUUGGCACCUCGAUGUCGGCUCAUCGCAUCCUGGGGCUGGAGAAGGUCCCAAGGGUCGGGCUGUUCGCCCGUUAAAGCGGUACGCGAGCUGGGUUCAGAACGUCGUGAGACAGUUCGGUCCUUAUCCACUGUGGGCGCAAGAAACGUGAGGGGUUCACUCUCUAGUACGAGAGGACCGAGAGUGACGCACCUCUGGUGUUCCGGUUGUCGCAUCAGCGGCAGCGCCGGGUAGCUAUGUGCGGAAAGGAUAAGCGCUGAAAGCAUCUAAGCGCCAAGCCUCUCCCAAGAUAACGUUUCUCCAUCAAGGCCGAGGAAGACUACCUCGUUGAUAGGUCGCAGGUGUAAGCGUGGUGACACGUUCAGCCGAGCGAUACUAAUAGCCUGAUUGUUUGGGUUCU
This 568-nucleotide ribosomal RNA is filed under the name Methylacidiphilales bacterium. RNAcentral describes it as "Candidatus Methylacidiphilales bacterium partial 23S ribosomal RNA". It matches the Rfam family "Bacterial large subunit ribosomal RNA", at positions 2347 to 2925 of the family's 2925-position model. The record is from RNAcentral. Lineage: Bacteria; Pseudomonadati; Verrucomicrobiota; Methylacidiphilae; Methylacidiphilales.